GAUGAAUCUAUUCGCUUGUUCAGAAAAAAUACUGAGUUAUAAGAAAACGAACAAAGCCAUGAUCAUAAAAAAAAAACCACACACACAACAACGUGUCAUUCCUCACUACGCCUAGCCAAAUGCAAAGUACCCAUCACAUAAUAUAUGGUUCACAGUAGCCAAUCAUGACAUAGUAAUACGAGGUCCAAUCAUGACAUAGUGAUACGAGUACCAAUCCUGCAGAGUACCAAUCACAUAGUAAUAGCAGUUAAGUGGAGUACAUGCAAUAGAGAUAAACAAGCUGCUGAGCUUCAGUGCCU
RNAcentral lists this long non-coding RNA (299 nucleotides) under Sorghum bicolor (sorghum). RNAcentral's name for it is "long non-coding RNA (SBIC_LNC000163)". The record is from RNAcentral. Lineage: Eukaryota; Viridiplantae; Streptophyta; Magnoliopsida; Poales; Poaceae.